RNAcentral lists this long non-coding RNA (236 nucleotides) under Lathyrus oleraceus (garden pea). RNAcentral describes it as "Pisum sativum (pea) long non-coding RNA (PSAT_LNC009538)". Lineage: Eukaryota; Viridiplantae; Streptophyta; Magnoliopsida; Fabales; Fabaceae. The record is from RNAcentral.
GCAGUUCAGAUCCUGAUGGGGUAUUAUCGGUACAUACAUCUGGUGUAUACAUGAUGAUAUUCUAUGAAAGGGUUGUUUAUCCUGCAUUUCUCUUGACCUUACCCUGGCCUAGAUUACACCCGUGAGUGGGGAGGGAAUGAAUCAUUACAGGUACAGUUGGUGACUAUUGAUCUGUUGGUGACUCUUGGUUCCUGUUGGUGACUUGGUUCUGCAGAAUGGGUCUCAGAUGACUUUGG